CACACUCGCUCUCGCCGCUCUGACACACACUCUCUACUUAGUGCGCUGGAGAGAGGACUGAGGCUCACACUAUCAGCGCAGCUUCUCAAUGGGGGGACGCAGCCAAGAGCAGACAGAGCAGUCAUUCCACUGGAGCCUUCCGCUGCACGCGUGAGAGGGAGCCGACAAGUGAGAGGGGCUAAAUUAGCUCCCUGUCACCACACCACAUAGGAGUCCUACUGACGGAGAGGAGGCACACACACUCGAGGAAGGAGAGGAUGUUGCACGUAUGUGGCUGAUACAGCAGUGACAUGAUCAGCCUCAAAUCCUGGUCAGUUUGUGACACAGACCCCCGGGUGUUUUGGUGACUGUGUUGGUAAGGAUUUCAAAAGGAAGUGAGCAGCGGGGGGGACGGGGGACAGCUUUUCAGCCCCCUUUUGUGCGGUGGUCGGCUUAUCUGGUACUGGAAUUUCGGGCGGGAAUCCCUGGCUUCAAAGUAUGGAUGGAUUUAAGACAGAGGAGUGAGUCUGCUGGGCAGACAGUGAUUCUGGCUGAGCUCCUUUCCUUCUGAACACACUGCUCAGACUCGGCCCUACCAUGUCCUGGUUGUUGGCCAUGUGGAUUAGCCUCGGCUUCCUGCUGCUGUGCCAGGCCACGCUCUACCAGACCAUCCAGCAGCACCACGUGGCACGGCCCGGUCGCACCGACAUCCUCACCCUGGAGGGAGGUACGUGUGAGGUGAUUGCCGCCCACCGAUGCUGUAACAAGAAUCGUAUUGAGGAGCGUUCUCAGACGGUCAAGUGCUCCUGUUUACCGGGGAAAGUGGCCGGGACGACACGCAACAAACCCUCCUGUGUGGAUGCGUCCAUUGUAAUUGGGAAAUGGUGGUGUGAGAUGGAACCAUGUCUGGAGGGAGAAGAGUGUAAGACUCUGCCUGACAACUCUGGAUGGAUGUGCUCCUCUGGGAACAAAAUCAAGACUACAAGAAACACCCAGCCAUACUCCCCUUUUUAGCUUCCGGAAGCAAAAUGCAGAGGAUGGGUCAACAGAAAUUGAGCUGCAUUCUUGCUUCUGUAAAGAUUCAUCCCAGGACCUAACAGAGAGCUCACCAUUGCAGGGCUGCGUGCCAGGCUCUUCCCUUCAUCUACCCUUUCUCUUCCCGCCGAACGGACUAAAACUAUUACAUCCACGUCUACUGACUGGAUUACCUGGGACCACAGAAAGGAUAUCCACCCAGAUAAAACAGCUUUGCUCGCGUGGUGCCAAGGAUUUGAAACCAGACUAAUCCCCUGUUUGAUCAAUGAGCCCCAUGUUGGUGACUCUCCUCUUCCACACAGCUGUGGCCAGUUUCCGACCUACUCUCUCUCUCUCCGUUUCCCCCCUCAUACACACUCUGUGUCCCGCUCAAAAACUGAAACAGCUUAGCAGGGGUUAUUUAGAGGUUGUUAAAACAUUAUUUGAAGACAUUCGCCCCUGCCUGAAGGUAAACCGGUUUAGGAGCUUACAUGGACCUGAACAUAUGGGAUCCACAGAACUGAGGGGCAAAAGGAGGGAAAUUACCUUGAUAUCCUUGUGUUUCUGUGUGGAAGGCUAUUGUGUUUGACUCGCUGCCGCAGCUGGAUGGCCUUUGCUGGUUGAAAAACCCUGGAUUUUCAGUGACGGAGACCACUAGCAGCCUAUAAUGAGUUAAUGAAGAGUCCUCAUGGCCUCACCUUCAUCCUUCACGAUGGACAUUUUGACUUUUAUUCGUGGGCAUGCCCGAUGUAAAUCCAUGAGCACUUCUUUUUCUUUGUAUGUAAGAUAAUUUGUGUAUAUAUACAUAUAUAAAUACAUCACAUAUAAGACGACAGAUCCAAGAAGCUGAAGAAUAUAUUUAAGACUCUAUUAGGAGCUCGAGCCCCCCCGGUGGAUUAUUGACCAGCCACUGAAUAUAAGAGGCCCAAUAUGGUGUGUGUGUGUGUGUGUGUAUAGGACUAUGCUUGCUUUGGAAAAAGCCACAAACAGAGUCAUAAAAAUAAAGUAUUGGUCACUUUCGUCAUUCAGCAAUGUCCUUGGUUGAGCCAGAAAAUGCUUGUAGUUUCAGUAAAGAUGAGGAAAACACUGUAUAGAACUGCCUCACAGAAGAAAGCAGCACUAACAACGACCCCUGAGCUUUCCACUCAGAUACAGUAGGGUCACGGAACAGCAGCCGGACCAUAAUCGGACAGUUAGUGUCUAUUUCUGCUGUAGGAAAGUGGUCAUGGACGACUGUGUCUGUCGUGUAGAUCUCCCGCUCACACACCGGAGAGAGAUGAUUUAUUCCAAAUGACAGUGAGAAAGUAUAGUCACAAUGGAGAAACAUACAGUUAUCCCCCCCAGUAGAUAUAAGUACAUUACAGGACAGCCUUAUGAGAAAUAAAAAUGGUUUUCUAUACUGA
Sebastes umbrosus (honeycomb rockfish) is the source of this 2396-nucleotide RNA transcript. It is a transcript of the gene named chemokine-like protein TAFA-1, with no coding region annotated. The record is from RefSeq and is a predicted model, not a curated record. The transcript has 6 exons. NCBI's taxonomy places the organism in Eukaryota, Metazoa, Chordata, Actinopteri, Perciformes, Sebastidae.